CUACGGGUCGCUGCAGUGAGGAAUAUUGCACAAUGGGCGCAAGCCUGAUGCAGCCAUGCCGCGUGUAUGAAGAAGGCCUUCGGGUUGUAAAGUACUUUCAGCGGGGAGGAAGGGAGUAAAGUUAAUACCUUUGCUCAUUGACGUUACCCGCAGAAGAAGCACCGGCUAACUCCGUGCCAGCAGCCGCGGUAAUACGGAGGGUGCAAGCGGUAAUCGGAAUUACUGGGCGUAAAGCGCACGCAGGCGGUGUGUUAAGUCAGAUGUGAAAUCCCCGGGCUCAACCUGGGAACUGCAUCUGAUACUGGUAAGCUUGAGUCUCGUAGAGGGGGGUAGAAUUCCAGGUGUAGCGGUGAAAUGCGUAGAGAUCUGGAGGAAUACCGGUGGCGAAGGCGGCCCCCUGGACGAAGACUGACGCUCAGGUGCGAAAGCGUGGGGAGCAAACAGGAUUAGAUACCCCCGUAGUC
RNAcentral lists this ribosomal RNA (464 nucleotides) under uncultured bacterium. Its description in RNAcentral is "partial 16S ribosomal RNA". It matches the Rfam family "Bacterial small subunit ribosomal RNA", at positions 339 to 795 of the family's 1533-position model. The record is from RNAcentral.